This 296-nucleotide non-coding RNA is filed under the name Paenibacillus sp. RNAcentral's name for it is "T-box sequence". It matches the Rfam family "T-box leader". Rfam says of the family: Uncharged tRNA acts as the effector for transcription antitermination of genes in the T-box leader family. T-boxes are found upstream of many aminoacyl-tRNA synthetase genes and some amino acid biosynthetic genes usually in Gram-positive bacteria. The record is from RNAcentral. Lineage: Bacteria; Bacillati; Bacillota; Bacilli; Caryophanales; Paenibacillaceae.
AUGGAUUCCAUGAUGGGAUAAGUAAGCUUUGGAUAUGUUCUCCAGAGAGCCGGCGUUUGCUGAGAGCCGGCGUUCAGACCGAAGCCGAAGAUCCUCCCGGAGAAGCGAAGCUGAAGCGUUAGCGUUAACGUGCGUAAGCCGAGCCGGCAUGCCGAACGUUAUAUCGGCUCCUUGCUGACGGCGGAGUUGGGUUGAUGAAUAUCCGGUAGGCGAGGACUUGAGGAGUCGUUCAGGAGAGCUUGUUUCUCCAUGAGCGGAAUUAGGGUGGUCACGCGAGCAGAAGCCUCGUCCUUUUA